UCUCCUCUCUCCCCUUCUCCAUCUAUUCUCUCUCAGAAAAAAGCAUGAUCCGCAGCGUAUACAAAUACGUAGCCGUAAUUGGCCGCGCACACGAAUCCGUUUCCGUGAUUCGCCGCGCACUCAACUCUGAAGCCAAACAACCAGUCAAGUACGACAUGGGGUCAAGAUCAUCCGGCGAGGGGCUUGAAUCAAACAGCGGCCGCGAUUGAUGAUGAUAGCAAGGCAGAAGAAUUCAAUGAAGGAAUGGCUGCUGGCUCUGGGACUAAACUCACACCUGAAGAAGAAGAAGCAAAACUUAGAUAUGGUCCUUGUGAACGUUGUGGAAAGGAGAAA
This is a long non-coding RNA of Malus domestica (apple), 333 nucleotides long. RefSeq lists it as uncharacterized. The record is from RefSeq and is a predicted model, not a curated record. Lineage: Eukaryota; Viridiplantae; Streptophyta; Magnoliopsida; Rosales; Rosaceae.